This 2606-nucleotide long non-coding RNA is filed under the name Glycine max (soybean). RNAcentral describes it as "long non-coding RNA (GMAX_LNC000629)". Lineage: Eukaryota; Viridiplantae; Streptophyta; Magnoliopsida; Fabales; Fabaceae. The record is from RNAcentral.
GCCACCUAUUUCUCCAUUAUCCUGAUGAUGAAUGUGUGCAUCGUUUGAGUUAUCAGCAGUUCUUGGUUGGUUCUGAGUUCCUAGUGGUGCCUGUCCUUGACAAAGGAAAGAAAAAAGUUAAAGCUUAUUUUCCAUUGGGAGAGAGUAGCAGUUGGAUCCAUAUCUGGACAGGAAAAGUGUUUUCCAAACAAGGACGUGAAGAAUGGGUAGAAGCUCCAAUAGGAUACCCUGCUGUAUUUGUUAAGGUUGGCUCCCAGGUUGGAGAAACCUUUUUGAAUAAUCUGAGAAGUUUAGGCAUUCUUUAAUAAAGCAUUCAUCAAAGGAUGAACUUUAGAUAUGUAUAACAUAGCAUCCAAGUGAUUUUUCAAUUCUUGCCCCUGAAUUAAUUCGCUUGUAUCGUUGCAAUCAAAGCUAGUGUAAAGAAAUUAGUUGGAAGGAUCUGAAUCACAUAAAUCACAUUCAUUAACCUUCAUAACCGAGAAUGUUAGCUCCUUAGUUUGUUAGGACAGCUUCCGCAUUCAUUUCCAGCAAAUAGCACUACGAAUGAAAUAAAACAUUAGGAAAAUGACACAUAGUUGCCACAUGGGAAACAGUUGUCUACUUCAUUCUGUAUAACUUCUUUUUUUAUCUAAAUAAUAACAUAAUUUAACAAAAAUGCAAAUAUGAUAAACCACUCUAACAAUUUCUUUAGUGGCAUAUUGAGUGGUUAUGGUUUAUGUAAUAGUUUGGUUAAAAAGUUUUACAGACAACGUGAAAAACUUCCCAAGUCUCGUUCAAUAAUCAUUUUUCCUAAAACAUUUUUGACUAGGUGAUGUUGAGGACAGUACUCUUUCAAAAGCCAGACAUAAGAAGUGACAGAUUCUACUUUAAAUAGAAGUUUCAUGUCUUACACCUAGCCAAUUUUAGACUCAUGCUCAUAUUUCUAAAUAUUUGGUUUUAACUGAGCCAAAUGACAUCGUGUAAUUCAUAUAGUCGGACCUGACCUAGUUAGAAAAGGCGUUUGUUGUUAUAGUUGUUGUUGCUCAUGCUUCUGCAUCUAUUUCACCUUUUUAUCACAUCAGAAAAGAUGGCAACUACUCAACAGAAUAGGAAAGCACUUGUCUGAAGUAAACGUUAAGCUAUUUAGAGGGAUCUAACUAAUAGACCUAUCAUGAAAACUAUGUUCUAUGUAACACAAACAAGAAGAAUAAUUUGAAACAUAGUUGGAAGGAAUAGUCUGUCCUCACAACUUACUUCCACCUCACCACAUAUCUGCACAGCUUUCACCAUGUGAUUAUAUUGUGUCUUACAUAGUUUCUGCACACCUACAUUUCUAAUUUAGCCACAUAUCUAAAUAUGUUUCUUGCACGUGACUAGAUUAGCAAGAAACAUUUUUGGUUGUAAAUACUUGUAAUGUCCCUUCUACAAGAAUUCCAAAGAAAUGAGAAUUCUAGAUUUUAUUAUGACCCUCACAUGUAAGAAUUCUUUUGGGACAAUGAGAAAGCAUUGGUUUCCUCUUACACAAAACCAAAACCUGAGUGUUUUAUCAUUCGCUUCCAGAUAUAACUAUAAGAGCCAAUAAACAAGAACACAAAGCUGGUAAGCAAGUUAAUAAGACCUUAAUUAGUAAAGUUUGAGAUCUUAGUGUGUGUUUGGUUUGUUGGAAGCACACACUCCAAGACUGUUAAACGGAGAAGUAUGUGAGAGGGAGCUUCCAACUGAACGGACGAUUGGGAUCACUCAACGAUAAAUCAAACACGCUCUCACUCUCUGGUCAACUUUAAUACAUUAACCUGUGGACAUUUCAAAGUACAAUACUAAAAUCCUCUUUUAUAGCAAGCAAUAAAUAUUUUGUUCUUAAUCUUGAUGGCAUUACCACCACAUCCUUCUUUGAGCAUUAGAUUACCAUUCUGAUCACAUUGAAUUUCAUGGAAAUAUAAAAAAAUUGAUCACUGACAACUUUUCCAAGGAUUAUGGAAAUAUGAUGAGAAAACAAUAGUAAACAGAAGAGUGAUUUCCCAUAUCAAUGAUGAUUUACACAGUCAUAGUUACAGUCAUCAAAGCAUGCACAUGCACUUACACUAGUUUGAAUAAGACGUGCACCGUGUGUAUUCCACUAUCAAGAAAGAAAAAAGAAAAAAAAAACAAGUGACCAUUAACAAUCAAAACAGCUUGGUUUUUAUGUUGGAUGGAUUUGUUAUGUCAUCAAAUAAACAUGUUUCAAAACAUCAACCACUGCAACGAAGAGUACAUGAAUACAUGACCCAGGAACAUAAAAGAGUUUGAGACAAUAUCAUCAUUGCACAAAACUUCUACGAAGUUAACUACAACAAACUAAUCACGUACCUUACCCAAAAUGGGGGAUACAUCAUUCAUUACAAACGAAAAAAUGCAACCCCAUUUCUUUGAUUAGUCUUUUCUCAUUGGAACGCUCAGAAACCAACGCACUGGCAGAGAGAGUUCAAUGUGACUGAACAAUGAACAUAGCAAAUGAGUUCUCUCACCAUUCAUGAGUUAAUGUUCGUGCAAUUAUCUGCGGAAUGAAAAGAAAAGGUGUUUUGUGAAUUGUGCGUGCGUGUGUGUUGAAUAAGGUUGUUGUUAUCGAAUACUUGAGUAGCAUAUUCUCU